UUUCACCCAUUUUCCCACCAAAUUCCUCAUUUUUCCCACCAAAUCCCGGAUUUUCCCUGGAAAUUCCCAAUUUUUUCCCCGAUUUUCCCUCCCAAUCCCGAAUUUUCCGUACCCGCCUUGAGCCUCUCGGUGCCUCCCUCGUGUCCGGCGGCCUCGGAGUGUCCGGAGCUCCCGGAAUUCCCGGAAUUCCCGGAAUUCCCGGAAUUCCCGGGCUGCGGCUCCGCCCCCCUCUGCGGCCUGCGGGAAAAUCCGGGAAUUCUGAGGCUGCCACCCCCCGAAAAUCCCAAUUUUCUUUUUUUCCCAAAUUUCCCCCCAUUUUUUCCCAAUUUUCCCAAUUUUUUUCCUGAAUUUCCCCCAUUUUCCAAAUUUUUCCCCACUUUUUCCAAUUAUUUUCCACAAUUUUCCCCAUUUUUCCCUCAUUUUCCCCAAUUUUCCCCCAUUUCCACCUCCUUUAUCCCCAUUGUUCCAAAUUUUUUCCCAAUUUCCCCACUUUUCCCCAAUUUUUCCAAAAUUCCUCAAUUUCCCCCCAUUUCCCCCAUUUUCUCCCCCAUUUCCCCAAUUUUCCCCCCAAUUUUCUCCCAAUUCUCCCCAAAUUUUCCCAAUUUUUUCCCAAAUUUCCCCCAUUUCCCCCUAAAUUUCCCCCUUUUCCCCAAUUUUUCCCAAAUAUCCCCAUUUUCCCCUAAUUUUCCCCCAAUUUUCCCCCAUUUUUCCAAAAUUUCCCCCAUUUUCUCCCCAAAUUUUCCCCUAUUUCCCCCAAUUUUCCCAAAUCUCCCCCGAAUUUUCCCCCAUUUCCCCCCAUUUUUUCCUCAUUUUUCCCAAUCUUCCCCAAUUUCCCCCAAUUUUCCCUCAAUUUUCCCCCAUUUUUCCCAAUUUUUCCCUCAUUUUCCCCAUUUUUCCCAAUUUUCCACCAAAUGUCCCAAUUUUCCCCAUUUUCCCCCCAAAUUUCCCCCACUUUCCCAAUUUUCCCAAUUUUGUCCCAAUUUUCCCCCAUUUUCCCCAAUUUUCCCAUUAUCUCCCAUUUCCCCCCAUUUUAUCCCAGAUUUCCCCCCUAAUUUCCCCAUUUUUUUCCCAAUUUUUCCCCAUUUUCCCCAAUUUCCCCCAUUUUAUCCCAAAUUUCCCCCAAUUUUUCCCAAAUUUUCCCCCAAUUUCCUUCUUUUUCCCUAGAUUUCCCCCUUUUCUCCCCCAUUUUUCCCCAUUUUUUCCCCAAUUUUCCCCCAAUUUUUCCCCAUUUUUCCCCAAAUUUUCCCCAUUUUCCCCAUUUUUUCCCCAAUUUCCCCCAUUUUAUCCCAAAUUUCUCCCCCAAAUUUCCCCCAUUUUCCCCAAUUUUCCCAAUUUUGUCUCAAAUGUUUCCCAUUUUCCCCCAAUUUUCCAAAAUUUCUCCCAUUUUCUCCAUUUUUCCCUAAUUUUCCCCCAAUUUUUCCCUAUUUUCCCCCUUUUCCCCAAUUUUCCCCUUUUCCCCCCCAUUUCCCCCCCAAAUUUCCACCAUUUUUCCCAUUUUCCCCAAUUUUGUCUCAAAUGUUUCCAAUUUCCCCCCAAUUUUUCCCCAAUUUCCUUCCAAUCUCUCCCAUUUUCUCAAUUUUUUCCCAAUUUUCCCCAAAUUUCCCCAUUUUUUCCCCCAAUUUCCCCCCAUUUUUUCCCAUUUUAUCCCAAAUUUCCCCCAUUUUUCCCCAAUUUCCCCCAUUUCCUCGAUUUCCCCUCAUUUCACCCCAAUUUUUUCCCCAAUUUCCUUAUUUUCCCCCAGAUUUCCCCCCUUUUCUCCCCCAUUUUUUUCCCCAAUUUCCCCCAUUUUAUCCCAAAUUUUCCCUCUAAUUUCCCCAUUUUUCCCCAAUUUCCCCCAUUUUAUCCCAAAUUUCUCCCCCAAUUUUUCCCCCUUUUCUCCCCAAUUCUUCCCCAAUUUCUCCCCAAUUUUUCCCAAUUUUUUCCCCAAUUUUCCCCAUUUUCUCCCAUUUUCCCCCAUUUUCCCCAAAUUUCCCCAAUUUUCCCCAAAUUUUCCCCAUUUUUCCCCAUUUUUCCCCAAUUCUCCCAAAAUUCUCCCCAUUUUCCCCAUUUUUCCCAAUUCCCCCCAAUUUUUCCCCGUUCCCACCUCUCUGGGGCUCCGCGGGCGCCGCCGGUGCCGGAGAAGCUUCCGGAGCUCUGGCGGAAGGCGGAGCCGGAACGGGGCGACUCCGGGAAACUCAGCGGGCUGGGACGGAAAAAUGGGAAAUUUGGGAAAAUUUGGGGGAAUUUGGGGGAAAUUGGGAGAAUUGGGGGAAAAUUGGGGGGAAUUUGGGGAAUUCCAGAGGAAAUGUGGGGAUUUUGGGGGGAUUUUUGGUGGAAUUUUGGGAUUUUGGAGGAAUUUUGGGGAGAAUUUUGGGAAUUUUCGGCAGAAUUUUGGGGAUUUUCUGGGAAUUUUGGGAAGGAAGAAUUUUGGGGAUUUUGUGGGAGGGAAGGAUUUUGUGGGAAUUUUGGGGGGAAAUUUGGUGGAAUUUUGGAGGAAUUUUGGGGAGAAUUUCGGGAAUUCCAGGGGAAAUUUGGGAAUUUUGGGGGGAAUUUGGGAAUUUUGGGGGGAAUUUCGGGAAUUCCAGGGGAAAUUUGGGGAAUUUUGGGGAGAAUUUGGGGAUUUUGGGGAGAAUUUCGUGAAUUCCAGGGGAAAUGUGGGAAUUUUGAGGAGAAUUUCGGGAAUUCCAGGGGAAAUUUGGGAAUUUUGGGAGGAAUUUGGGGAAUUCCAGGGGAAAUGUGGGAAUUUUGAGGAGAAUUUCGGGAAUUUUGAGGAGAAUUUCGGGAAUUUUGAGGAGAAUUUCGGGAAUUCAUGGGGAAAUUUGGGAAUUUUGUGGAGAAUUUGGGGAAUUCCAGAGGAAAUGUGGGAAUUUUGAGGAGAAUUUUGGAAAUUUUUGGUGGAAAUGUGGGAAUUCUGGGGUAAUUCCGGGGAAUUUUUGGUGGAAAUGUGGGAAUUUUGUGGGUAAUUUCAGGGAAUUCCAGAGGAAAUGUGGGAAUUUUGAGGAGAAUUUUGUGAAUUUUUGGUGGAAAUGUGGGAAUUUUGAGGAGAAUUUGGGGAAUUCCAGGGGAAAUUUGGGAAUUUUGAGGAGAAUUUUGGGAAUUUUGGUGAGAAUUUCGGGAAUUUUUUCUGGAAAUGUGGGAAUUUUGGGGUAAUUCCGGGAAUUCCAUGGGAAAUGUGGGAAUUUGGGGGUAAUUUUGGGGAAUUUUUGCUGGAAAUGUGGGAAUUUUGGGGAUAAUUUUGGGAACUUUUGCUGGAAAUGUGGGAAUUUGGUGGUAAUCCCGGUAUGCGUCGCUCCCUCACCGUUUGCCGUGUCCCGGCGGCGGCUCCCGGGGCAGCGCCGGCGGCACCGGGGCCCGUUUGGUGCCGCCGCGGUGCCAGGCGGGCGCGGGGCGGUGCCCGGCCCGGAUCGGCUCCGGGAUCGGCUCCGGGAACGGCGCCGGGAACGGCGCCGGGAACGGCUCCGGGAACGGCUCCGGGUCCGGCGGCGCCUCCGCUCCGGCUGCCAGGCUUUCCGACCAACCCCUGCGGGGACAGCGGGAACGUGUCACCCAUGGGACACCCAUGGGACAUCGUGUCACCCACGGGGACACCCACGGGACACCCAUGGGGAGAGGGACACCCACGGGGACAGGGACACCGUGUCACCCACGGGGACACUGUGUCACCCAUGGGACACCCACGGGGAUGGGGACACCCACGGGGACACCCAUGGGACACCCAUGGGGACACCCAUGGGGACAUCAACGGGGACACCCACGGGGACACCCACGAGGACAGGGACACCCACGGGACACCCAUGGGACACCCACGGGACAGGGACACCGUGUCACCCACGGGGACACCCACAGGACACCCACGGGACACCCACGGGGACACCGUGUCACCCACGGGGACAGGGACACCGUGUCACCCACGGGACACCCACGGGGACACCCACGGGACACCCAUGGGACACCCACGGGGACAUCGUGUCACCCACGGGGACACCCAUGGGGACACCGUGUCACCCACGGGACACCCACGGGACACCCACGGGGACACCCACGGGGACACCCACGGGGACACCGUGUCACCCAUGGGACACCCAUGGGACACCCAUAGGGACAGGGACACCCACGGGGACACCGUGUCACCCAUGGGACACCCAUGGGACACCCACGGGACACCCAUGGGACACCCACGGGGACAGGGACAAGGGACACCCACGGGACACCCACGGGGACACCCACAGGGACACCCAUGGGGACACCCACGGGACAGGGACACCGUGUCACCCACGGGGACACCCA
This is a long non-coding RNA of Taeniopygia guttata (zebra finch), 4266 nucleotides long. The record is from Ensembl. NCBI's taxonomy places the organism in Eukaryota, Metazoa, Chordata, Aves, Passeriformes, Estrildidae.